GGCUGGUCUGAGUGCAGCGGUAUUUACAUCUAACUGAUCACAACCAGUUACAGAUUUCUUUGUUCUUUCCCCACUCCCACUGCUUAAAACUUGAGUAGCCUAAA
Y RNA from Callithrix jacchus (white-tufted-ear marmoset), 104 nucleotides. It matches the Rfam family "Y RNA". Rfam says of the family: Y RNAs are components of the Ro ribonucleoprotein particle (Ro RNP), in association with Ro60 and La proteins. The Y RNAs and Ro60 and La proteins are well conserved, but the function of the Ro RNP is not known. The record is from Ensembl. NCBI's taxonomy places the organism in Eukaryota, Metazoa, Chordata, Mammalia, Primates, Cebidae.